RNAcentral lists this ribosomal RNA (450 nucleotides) under uncultured bacterium. RNAcentral's name for it is "partial 16S ribosomal RNA". It matches the Rfam family "Bacterial small subunit ribosomal RNA", at positions 354 to 796 of the family's 1533-position model. The record is from RNAcentral.
GUGGGGAAUUUUGGACAAUGGGCGCAAGCCUGAUCCAGCCAUGCCGCGUGCAGGAUGAAGGCCUUCGGGUUGUAAACUGCUUUUGUACGGAACGAAAAGACUCUUUCUAAUAAAGAGGGUCCAUGACGGUACCGUAAGAAUAAGCACCGGCUAACUACGUGCCAGCAGCCGCGGUAAUACGUAGGGUGCGAGCGUUAAUCGGAAUUACUGGGCGUAAAGCGUGCGCAGGCGGUGAUGUAAGACAGAUGUGAAAUCCCCGGGCUCAACCUGGGAACUGCAUUUGUGACUGCAUCGCUGGAGUGCGGCAGAGGGGGAUGGAAUUCCGCGUGUAGCAGUGAAAUGCGUAGAUAUGCGGAGGAACACCGAUGGCGAAGGCAAUCCCCUGGGCCUGCACUGACGCUCAUGCACGAAAGCGUGGGGAGCAAACAGGAUUAGAUACCCGUGUAGUCC